AUGCUCGCUUUGGCAGCACAUAUACUAAAAUUGGAACGAUACAGAGAAGAUUAGCAUGGCCCCUGCACAAGGAUGACACACAAAUUUGUGAAUCAUUCCAUAUAUUG
Molecule: small nuclear RNA, 107 nt
Filed under: Microcebus murinus (gray mouse lemur)
Lineage: Eukaryota; Metazoa; Chordata; Mammalia; Primates; Cheirogaleidae
Source: RNAcentral